UGCGUAACAGCUCACUGGUCGAGAGGUCUUGCACGGAAAAUAAUCGGGCAUCAAACUACUAACCGAAGCUCUAUGAUUGCCAUUAGAUGGUAUAUCGGUAGGGGAGCAUUCAAACUGCAUCGAAGGUGUACGGUGACGUAUGCUGGAGCGGUUUGAAAAGAAAAUGUAGGCAUAAGUAACGAUAAAUAAGGUGAAAAACCUUAUCGCCGAAAGUCUAAGGGUUCCUGAUCAACGUUAAUCGGAUCAGGGUUAGCCCGGUCCUUAGUCAAACCCGAAAGGGGUAGACGAUGGAAAGCAGGUUAAUAUUCCUGCGCCUGCUAUGCAAUGAAAGUGACGGAGAGCCGUGGUGAUUACGUACUGACAGAAUAGUGCGUUCAGUGGAGUCUUCGGACGAAGCGAAAUCAUAAAAGCUCUUCCAAGAAAAGCGAGUAUAGCAGCCGGUACCGCAAACCGACACAGGUAGACGGGAUGAGUAUUCUAAGGCGCUCGGGUGAGCCGUGGAGAAGGAACUAGGCAAAUUGACGCUGUAACUUCGGGAUAAAGCGUACCAUCUUCGGAUGGUCUCAGUAAAAUGGUUCAACCAACUGUUUAACAAAAACACAGGGCCCUGCAAAAUCGAAAGAUGACGUAUAGAGCCUGAUACCUGCCCGGUGCUGGAAGGUUAAGGGGACGUGUUAGGGCAACCGAAGCACU
RNAcentral lists this ribosomal RNA (693 nucleotides) under Pycnococcus provasolii. RNAcentral's name for it is "partial Bacterial large subunit ribosomal RNA". It matches the Rfam family "Bacterial large subunit ribosomal RNA", at positions 1131 to 1908 of the family's 2925-position model. Lineage: Eukaryota; Viridiplantae; Chlorophyta; Pseudoscourfieldiophyceae; Pseudoscourfieldiales; Pycnococcaceae. The record is from RNAcentral.